CAAAUGAUCAGAUUCUGCAUGUACAUUGUCAAACUGGGCAACAAUCCGCUCAUUUGACAACCCCACCAAACAAACAAAUUGUUAUGUGUAUGGCCAGCUUAAGACCAAAGACUGCUGGCCACUAUUGUUCCUUCUCUCUUCUUCAUGAGGACCUUUCAAAUAGAUAAGUAUGUGUUUUGUAGAAUAUAUGUGUUCAGCACUGGAAGGAUUAUUGUUUUUAGAAGCCGUUGGGUUUUUGUCUUUUUAAAAGUUCACAUGGACUGAAUGAAUAUCACUUUUUAGGAAGUGGCUUUUGUCCACGAAUCGCCUCAAUCGUUUGUUGUGCGCUCCAUUCAUGUUUUUAAACAUUAUCGAAUAAAAGUGAUGGUUUUAACAACGCUGGUGCUCCGUGUCUAAGCAUUUUGGUCAGAUCAUUCAUGCUUCGGAAGCGGAUAAACGUAGCAGAACAGCAGAAUCUCCUUCAAGAACUAAACCCAUUGUACUCUACUGAGCCUGUCAUCUGCUUAUCAGCUCAUCCUUAGUGUAAACACGUGCCUUUCUGUCCUAUUCAGCUUGAACUGUUGCCUUCACACAGCAGCUGAUUUGUAUAAAAUAUAGAUGUGUUAGAUCUUGCGCAUUCAGCCAGAAAGAAAUUAGUGGUAACAU
Molecule: long non-coding RNA, 645 nt
Organism: Xenopus laevis (African clawed frog)
Lineage: Eukaryota; Metazoa; Chordata; Amphibia; Anura; Pipidae
Exons: 2
Source: RefSeq, a predicted model, not a curated record